This 463-nucleotide ribosomal RNA is filed under the name uncultured bacterium. RNAcentral describes it as "partial 16S ribosomal RNA". It matches the Rfam family "Bacterial small subunit ribosomal RNA", at positions 28 to 507 of the family's 1533-position model. The record is from RNAcentral.
GAUGAACGCUGACAGAAUGCUUAACACAUGCAAGUCUUUGGCGAAGCUGUGCUUGCACAGCCUAGCCAAGGUGGCGGGGGGAUUAACACGUAAGGAACUUCCCCUCCAGUCAGGGAUAACAGACGGAAACGACUGAUAAGACCUGGUAAAGUCAGGCGCACCCAUGUCCAGCCUGAUGAAAAGAUAUGCUGCAGGAGAGCCUUGCGUCCUAUUAGCUUGUUGGUGGGGUAACGGCCCACCAAGGCGAUGGUAGGUGGCCGGCCUGAGAGGGUGGACGGCCACAAGGGGACUGAGAUACGGCCCUUACUCCUACGGGAGGCAGCAGUGGGAAAUAUUGGACAAUGGGGGCAACCCUGAUCCAGCAAUUCUGUGUGCGCGAUGAAGGUUUUCGGAUUGUAAAGUGCUUUCAGCAGGGAAGAAAAAAAUGACGGUACCUGCAGAAGAAGCGACGGCUAAAUACGUG